GCCAGGUGUGGUGGCGCACACCUGUAAUCCCAGCUACUCAGGAGGCUGAGGUGGGAGAAUCGCUUGAACCUGGGAGGUGGAACCUGGGAGGUGAGCCAAGAUCAUGCCACUGCACUCCAGCCUGGGUGACAGAGUGAGACUCCAUCUCAU
Macaca fascicularis (crab-eating macaque) is the source of this 150-nucleotide unclassified non-coding RNA. It matches the Rfam family "Metazoan signal recognition particle RNA". Rfam says of the family: The signal recognition particle (SRP) is a universally conserved ribonucleoprotein. It is involved in the co-translational targeting of proteins to membranes. The eukaryotic SRP consists of a 300-nucleotide 7S RNA and six proteins: SRPs 72, 68, 54, 19, 14, and 9. The record is from Ensembl. Lineage: Eukaryota; Metazoa; Chordata; Mammalia; Primates; Cercopithecidae.